UACGGGAGGCAGCAGUGGGGAAUAUUGCACAAUGGGCGAAAGCCUGAUGCAGCUAUGCCGCGUGUAUGAAGAAGGCCUUAGGGUUGUAAAGUACUUUCAUCGGGGAGGAAAAAACAAAACUAAUAAUUUUAUUUCUUGACGUUACCCGAAAAAGAAGCACCGGCUAACUCCGUGCCAGCAGCCGCGGUAAUACGGAGGGUGCUAGCGUUAAUCAGAAUUACUGGGCGUAAAGAGCACGUAGGUGGUUUUUUUAAAGUCAGAUGUGAAAUCCCUGGGCUUAACCUGGAACUGCAUUUUGAAACUGAAAUACUAGAGUAUCGUAGAGGGAGGUAGAAUUCUAGGUGUAGCGGUGAAAUGCGUAGAUAUCUGGAGGAAUACCUGUGGCGAAAGCGGCCUCCUAAACGAAUACUGACGCUGAGGUGCGAAAGCGUGGGGAGCAAACAGGGAUUAGAUACC
This 456-nucleotide ribosomal RNA is filed under the name uncultured bacterium. RNAcentral describes it as "bacterial SSU rRNA". It matches the Rfam family "Bacterial small subunit ribosomal RNA", at positions 340 to 786 of the family's 1533-position model. The record is from RNAcentral.